RNAcentral lists this ribosomal RNA (492 nucleotides) under uncultured bacterium. RNAcentral's name for it is "partial 16S ribosomal RNA". It matches the Rfam family "Bacterial small subunit ribosomal RNA", at positions 29 to 507 of the family's 1533-position model. The record is from RNAcentral.
AGUGAACGCUGGCGGUAGGCCUAACACAUGCAAGUCGAACGGCAGCACAGUAAGAGCUUGCUCUUACGGGUGGCGAGUGGCGGACGGGUGAGGAAUACAUCGGAAUCUACUUUUUCGUGGGGGAUAACGUAGGGAAACUUACGCUAAUACCGCAUACGACCUACGGGUGAAAGCAGGGGAUCUUCGGACCUUGCGCGAUUGAAUGAGCCGAUGUCGGAUUAGCUAGUUGGCGGGGUAAAGGCCCACCAAGGCGACGAUCCGUAGCUGGUCUGAGAGGAUGAUCAGCCACACUGGAACUGAGACACGGUCCAGACUCCUACGGGAGGCAGCAGUGGGGAAUAUUGGACAAUGGGCGCAAGCCUGAUCCAGCCAGACCGCGUGUGUGAAGAAGGCCUUCGGUUUGUAAAGCCCUUUUGCUGGGAAAGAAAAGCAGCAGGUUAAUACCCCGCUGUUCUGACGGUACCCAAAGAAUAAGCACCGGCUAACUUCGUG